RNAcentral lists this ribosomal RNA (483 nucleotides) under uncultured bacterium. RNAcentral describes it as "bacterial SSU rRNA". It matches the Rfam family "Bacterial small subunit ribosomal RNA", at positions 501 to 987 of the family's 1533-position model. The record is from RNAcentral.
CUACGUGCCAGCAGCCGCGGUAAUACGGAAGGUCCAGGCGUUAUCCGGAUUUAUUGGGUUUAAAGGGAGCGUAGGCCGGAGAUUAAGUGUGUUGUGAAAUGUAGACGCUCAACGUCUGACUUGCAGCGCAUACUGGUUUCCUUGAGUACGCACAACGUUGGCGGAAUUCGUCGUGUAGCGGUGAAAUGCUUAGAUAUGACGAAGAACUCCGAUUGCGAAGGCAGCUGACGGGAGCGCAACUGACGCUUAAGCUCGAAGGUGCGGGUAUCGAACAGGAUUAGAUACCCUGGUAGUCCGCACAGUAAACGAUGGAUGCCCGCUGUUGGUACCUGGUAUCAGCGGCUAAGCGAAAGCAUUAAGCAUCCCACCUGGGGAGUACGCCGGCAACGGUGAAACUCAAAGGAAUUGACGGGGGCCCGCACAAGCGGAGGAACAUGUGGUUUAAUUCGACGCAACGCGAAGAACCUUACCAGGUCUUGACAU